RNAcentral lists this ribosomal RNA (2204 nucleotides) under Escherichia coli. RNAcentral's name for it is "partial 23S ribosomal RNA". It matches the Rfam family "Bacterial large subunit ribosomal RNA", at positions 418 to 2607 of the family's 2925-position model. The record is from RNAcentral. Lineage: Bacteria; Pseudomonadati; Pseudomonadota; Gammaproteobacteria; Enterobacterales; Enterobacteriaceae.
CGGGACACGUGGUAUCCUGUCUGAAUAUGGGGGGACCAUCCUCCAAGGCUAAAUACUCCUGACUGACCGAUAGUGAACCAGUACCGUGAGGGAAAGGCGAAAAGAACCCCGGCGAGGGGAGUGAAAAAGAACCUGAAACCGUGUACGUACAAGCAGUGGGAGCACGCUUAGGCGUGUGACUGCGUACCUUUUGUAUAAUGGGUCAGCGACUUAUAUUCUGUAGCAAGGUUAACCGAAUAGGGGAGCCGAAGGGAAACCGAGUCUUAACUGGGCGUUAAGUUGCAGGGUAUAGACCCGAAACCCGGUGAUCUAGCCAUGGGCAGGUUGAAGGUUGGGUAACACUAACUGGAGGACCGAACCGACUAAUGUUGAAAAAUUAGCGGAUGACUUGUGGCUGGGGGUGAAAGGCCAAUCAAACCGGGAGAUAGCUGGUUCUCCCCGAAAGCUAUUUAGGUAGCGCCUCGUGAAUUCAUCUCCGGGGGUAGAGCACUGUUUCGGCAAGGGGGUCAUCCCGACUUACCAACCCGAUGCAAACUGCGAAUACCGGAGAAUGUUAUCACGGGAGACACACGGCGGGUGCUAACGUCCGUCGUGAAGAGGGAAACAACCCAGACCGCCAGCUAAGGUCCCAAAGUCAUGGUUAAGUGGGAAACGAUGUGGGAAGGCCCAGACAGCCAGGAUGUUGGCUUAGAAGCAGCCAUCAUUUAAAGAAAGCGUAAUAGCUCACUGGUCGAGUCGGCCUGCGCGGAAGAUGUAACGGGGCUAAACCAUGCACCGAAGCUGCGGCAGCGACGCUGAUGCGUUGUUGGGUAGGGGAGCGUUCUGUAAGCCUGUGAAGGUGUGCUGUGAGGCAUGCUGGAGGUAUCAGAAGUGCGAAUGCUGACAUAAGUAACGAUAAAGCGGGUGAAAAGCCCGCUCGCCGGAAGACCAAGGGUUCCUGUCCAACGUUAAUCGGGGCAGGGUGAGUCGACCCCUAAGGCGAGGCCGAAAGGCGUAGUCGAUGGGAAACAGGUUAAUAUUCCUGUACUUGGUGUUACUGCGAAGGGGGGACGGAGAAGGCUAUGUUGGCCGGGCGACGGUUGUCCCGGUUUAAGCGUGUAGGCUGGUUUUCCAGGCAAAUCCGGAAAAUCAAGGCUGAGGCGUGAUGACGAGGCACUACGGUGCUGAAGCAACAAAUGCCCUGCUUCCAGGAAAAGCCUCUAAGCAUCAGGUAACAUCAAAUCGUACCCCAAACCGACACAGGUGGUCAGGUAGAGAAUACCAAGGCGCUUGAGAGAACUCGGGUGAAGGAACUAGGCAAAAUGGUGCCGUAACUUCGGGAGAAGGCACGCUGAUAUGUAGGUGAAGCGACUUGCUCGUGGAGCUGAAAUCAGUCGAAGAUACCAGCUGGCUGCAACUGUUUAUUAAAAACACAGCACUGUGCAAACACGAAAGUGGACGUAUACGGUGUGACGCCUGCCCGGUGCCGGAAGGUUAAUUGAUGGGGUCAGCGCAAGCGAAGCUCUUGAUCGAAGCCCCGGUAAACGGCGGCCGUAACUAUAACGGUCCUAAGGUAGCGAAAUUCCUUGUCGGGUAAGUUCCGACCUGCACGAAUGGCGUAAUGAUGGCCAGGCUGUCUCCACCCGAGACUCAGUGAAAUUGAACUCGCUGUGAAGAUGCAGUGUACCCGCGGCAAGACGGAAAGACCCCGUGAACCUUUACUAUAGCUUGACACUGAACAUUGAGCCUUGAUGUGUAGGAUAGGUGGGAGGCUUUGAAGUGUGGACGCCAGUCUGCAUGGAGCCGGCCUUGAAAUACCACCCUUUAAUGUUUGAUGUUCUAACGUUGACCCGUGAUCCGGGUUGCGGACAGUGUCUGGUGGGUAGUUUGACUGGGGCGGUCUCCUCCUAAAGAGUAACGGAGGAGCACGAAGGUUGGCUAAUCCUGGUCGGACAUCAGGAGGUUAGUGCAAUGGCAUAAGCCAGCUUGACUGCGAGCGUGACGGCGCGAGCAGGUGCGAAAGCAGGUCAUAGUGAUCCGGUGGUUCUGAAUGGAAGGGCCAUCGCUCAACGGAUAAAAGGUACUCCGGGGAUAACAGGCUGAUACCGCCCAAGAGUUCAUAUCGACGGCGGUGUUUGGCACCUCGAUGUCGGCUCAUCACAUCCUGGGGCUGAAGUAGGUCCCAAGGGUAUGGCUGUUCGCCAUUUAAAGUGGUACGCGAGCUG